UACGGGGGGGGCAAGCGUUGUUCGGAAUUACUGGGCGUAAAGGGCUCGUAGGUGGCCAACUAAGUCAUACGUGAAAUCCCUCGGCUUAACCGGGGAACUGCGUCUGAUACUGGAUGGCUUGAGUUUGGGAGAGGGAUGCGGAAUUCCAGGUGUAGCGGUGAAAUGCGUAGAUAUCUGGAGGAACACCGGUGGCGAAGGCGGCAUCCUGGACCAACACUGACACUGAGGAGCGAAAGCCAGGGGAGCAAACGGG
Molecule: ribosomal RNA, 253 nt
Filed under: uncultured bacterium
Lineage: Bacteria
Description: partial 16S ribosomal RNA
Rfam family: Bacterial small subunit ribosomal RNA
Source: RNAcentral